Molecule: long non-coding RNA, 264 nt
Filed under: Mytilus galloprovincialis (Mediterranean mussel)
Lineage: Eukaryota; Metazoa; Mollusca; Bivalvia; Mytilida; Mytilidae
Source: RNAcentral
CCUGGGUUUAUGCUCAUUGUUAAAGGCCAUAUAAUAAUCUUUAGUUGCUUAUUUCUGUCAGUUGGUCUUUGGUCCAGUUUUCUCAUCAAGUUAUUAGCCAUCAUACCACAUCAAAAGAUAUUAAUUCAAUAAAUUUUAAAAGAAGCUAAAAUCAAGCCAUCUUGCCAGGAAAUACCCAAACUCACAGCCUAUUGGCUGUCAAAAUUAAAUUAUAUUUCAACAAUAUACUAAAUAAAUAAAUUUUAAAGUUAAUUGUGAACAUAC